RNAcentral lists this ribosomal RNA (465 nucleotides) under uncultured bacterium. RNAcentral describes it as "bacterial SSU rRNA". It matches the Rfam family "Bacterial small subunit ribosomal RNA", at positions 26 to 518 of the family's 1533-position model. The record is from RNAcentral.
AGAACGAACGCUGGCGGGCAGGCUUAACACAUGCAAGUUGAGCGGGAACUGGAGAUAGCUUGCUAUUGAAGGGGAGAGCAGCGCACUGGUGAGUAACACGUGGGAACAUACCUUUUGUGGGGGACAACAGUUGGAAACGACUGCUAAUACCGCAUAAGCCCUGAGGGGGAAAGAUUCAUUGCCGAAAGAUUGGCCCGCGGAAGAUUAGGUAGUAGGUGGGGUAACGGCCUACCUAGCCGACGAUCUAUAGCUGGUCUGAGAGGACGAUCAGCCACAUUGGAACUGAGACACGGUCCAGACUCCUACGGGAGGCAGCAGUGAGGAAUAUUGGGCAAUGGAGGCAACUCUGACCCAAGCCAUGCCGCGUGAGUGAAGAAGGUUUUCGGAUUGUAAAGCUCUUUCAGACGGGAAGAUGAUGACGGUACCGUCAGAAGAAGCACCGGCUAACUUCGUGCCAGCCGCGGC